CUACAGAUGGUUGACCAACACAGGAGUGCUUCAUGAGUAGGCAAUCACUGAAACAAGGCAGAUCGAUCACCUCAAGUCCACCUUCAAGCCAUGAGAUUGCAGAUAAAGGAUUAGGCCACCUGACAGUCAACCCUUAUGCUUGAGAAGAUAGUUCACUCUAUGAACUUCCUAAUACGUGGAGCCAUGUUAUUCAUUGAUACUAAGGAUUUAAUCAGGCUCGUGGUUGGAUCUGAACCAAGGAUAGGAGUCAUGGAGAUUAAUUUGCCAACGGUAAGAACUGAUGGGGAAACCAAGGUGUUUGAGGUUUACAAUGGCUCAGCUUGACUCGGCUCAGACCAGCUCGUUAUACUAACGAGCUGUCUCAAUGGAACCAAGCUAAAAGACUAUCUCGGCUUGGCUUGGUCUGGCUCGUGAGCUAGGCACACCUGUACCGUCCUUGAGUCUUGUGUUCACCAGUUUUGCACGGAUGGGUUAACGGAAAGCAAGCGAGGGAGUUCCCUUCACGUUUAAUUUUGCCAAAACUUGGAGCUAGCAGCUCAACAAAUCCAUUGCAUUUGUGAAAUUUUUGGUAAACGCAAUUUGGCUUUUAGAUGAUCCAGUGAGAGGCUU
Long non-coding RNA from Phragmites australis (common reed), 609 nucleotides. RefSeq lists it as uncharacterized. The transcript has 3 exons. NCBI's taxonomy places the organism in Eukaryota, Viridiplantae, Streptophyta, Magnoliopsida, Poales, Poaceae. The record is from RefSeq and is a predicted model, not a curated record.